This 67-nucleotide transfer RNA is filed under the name Ictidomys tridecemlineatus (thirteen-lined ground squirrel). RNAcentral describes it as "Spermophilus tridecemlineatus (thirteen-lined ground squirrel) tRNA". It matches the Rfam family "tRNA". From Rfam's summary of the family: Transfer RNA (tRNA) molecules are approximately 80 nucleotides in length. Their secondary structure includes four short double-helical elements and three loops (D, anti-codon, and T loops). Lineage: Eukaryota; Metazoa; Chordata; Mammalia; Rodentia; Sciuridae. The record is from Rfam by way of RNAcentral.
GGGAGUAUAGCUCAGUGAUAGAGCCCUUGCCCAGCCUGGGAGGCCCUGGGUUCAAUUCCCAGUACCA